UCGUCUGACGGUACCAUAUGAAUAAGCACCGGCUAACUCCGUGCCAGCAGCCGCGGUAAUACGGAGGGUGCAAACGUUGCUCGGAAUUAUUGGGCGUAAAGCGCACGUAGGCGGACCGUCAAGUCGGAUGUGAAAUCCCUCGGCUUAACCGAGGACGUGCAUUCGAAACUGAUGGCCUUGAGUACGAAAGAGGAUCGCGGAAUUCCCGGUGUAGAGGUGAAAUUCGUAGAU
Molecule: ribosomal RNA, 231 nt
Filed under: Pycnococcus provasolii
Lineage: Eukaryota; Viridiplantae; Chlorophyta; Pseudoscourfieldiophyceae; Pseudoscourfieldiales; Pycnococcaceae
Description: partial Bacterial small subunit ribosomal RNA
Rfam family: Bacterial small subunit ribosomal RNA
Source: RNAcentral